GCGAGACAAAAAAAGAAACGGAUCGCCCAGCCCUAGCCUAGCGAGUCCUCAACUUUUCCCUCUCCCUCGUCCGCCGCCAUCACCGGCGACCUACCCCACAGCCGCUGCUGCCAACCUGCACGGAGGCGGCGGCCUGGGCGACAUGGCACUCUCGUCGUCUAGAUCGAACUGAGCGGGAGGGGGAGAACAAUUGCCGCCUUCUCAUGCUGUCUCGUCUCCACCGUACCUUGUCUGCGCCGCGUGGUGAUGACCGGCGGCACAGCCGGUGUUGGCGGCAGUGGUCGAUCCCCUGGUUGUCGUAGCUUCUGGAAGGCCGGCACUAACGAGGCCCCCUCCGUCCCCAUCCACGAGUUCCACGACAGGGGACUUCGACCGCGCCUGCGUGCAUCCCAGGUUCCUCCGCAUCAACCUGACCUCCCACAAGUUGGCGUUCAGAGCUAUAUCUGAACUUCUUGAUAAUGGAGUAGAUGAGGUUUGUAAUAUCUUCUAACAUCUUCUAUGAAUUAGAUACUCGUUGAUUUAAAUUGUGUGAUAAUACUCGAAUGUCUGAUACACGGAUUAUUCUGUUGUAACUUGUAAGCUGAAAUUUUGAGAUGUCACACUCCUGUUUCUAGGAAAACCAUGCUAUACUGCUAUCACAUUUAUUUAUUUGUUUAUUUUAUUGUAUUCGUGUAUUAUAACACAAUGCUCUGUUCAUCAGGGUGUUAAUAACUUCACUUUCUAACAAAUGCCUCAUCACUGAUGGGGGCGACAUCGAACAACAAUUCUGUGUGGUUAAUACUGUAAAUUUGAGAAAUUGAUUUGCAAGCAUGUGCCCAUUGCAAAUUUGAUGGGUACAUUAUACAUUAAGAAUUUGUAUGACCUGACAUUCACGGGUACUAAUAUUUUCUGAAUAGGCAUGAGUGAAAAGGUGAUUAAGAAUUCUGAUGGACAGUGAUGGGGCGGUAUUUGUCGAGGUUGCUAGGUGGGUGGACUUUCCUUUUCUGCAAGGACUUCUCUAGUUCUAUGCUUUCACUUUGGAUGACCGUGUGAAGCACUGAAUUCUGACGUCGGCCUCGCCGCAGAAGUCCGCCCGCACCGCCGAUCGGCGGGUGUCGAAGAGGCCCAAAUCGCUCCCACUCUGAAGCUCAAGGAGGUUCCAAUCACCACCGGCGAAGAGGAUGAGGACAUCCUUGAUAUGUAGCCACGCAAGGUGGAUCCCUCGUCCCGUCGAAGCCGCGAGAAGAGGAGCCCCACCCGGACGACUUCCCCCCGUCUCCCGCGGAUGGUUCUUCUUCCAUUGAGACGCCCAGGCCCGACGGAUCUUGCUCGUCGCAGCCCAGGGCCUGGUCCGUCGGAGCGGUCAGAGAGGAGUGGUGGAUGUGCGUCCUCUUAGACGCCGCCUUUCAGAGAAGGCGGGGAUGAGCGGAUUGCAGCGAGGGAAGCGGCUCGGCUCGGACCGUCCAUGGCGCUAGCACGAUAGCUUGCCUCCUCUUCCGGCAUGGCUAUUGUUUUGGUCCACGCCGUUUCUGCCUCGACGGACACUGUCGUCGUAGGUGCCGAUGAGGAGACCCGCGACCAACUAUCUGGGCCCAGCGCGCUCGGUCAAUUCCCUCGGAGCAAGAGCAAAUUUAACAAAGCAAUACAACAAAACGUGGAGCAGCUAAUGUACAUCCAAUCAACUCUCAGGGCAUUCAAGGAGCGAGGAACAAUGGGUAUAUCAAAUAAAAAACGUAACCAGCUUUCCCCGGGUGAAGAAUCCUCUACUAAAAUGAGCCUCAGGUACAUCCUACUCAGAUGGCAUAGGAGAGAUCUACAACCAGUUUUACUCAGGUUCUUUUGCUGA
RNAcentral lists this ribosomal RNA (1825 nucleotides) under Triticum aestivum (bread wheat). RNAcentral describes it as "partial small subunit ribosomal RNA". Lineage: Eukaryota; Viridiplantae; Streptophyta; Magnoliopsida; Poales; Poaceae. The record is from RNAcentral.